This 478-nucleotide ribosomal RNA is filed under the name uncultured bacterium. RNAcentral describes it as "partial 16S ribosomal RNA". It matches the Rfam family "Bacterial small subunit ribosomal RNA", at positions 28 to 523 of the family's 1533-position model. The record is from RNAcentral.
GACGAACGCUGGCGGCGUGCUUAACACAUGCAAGUCGAACGGUAAGGCCCUUCGGGGUACACGAGUGGCGAACGGGUGAGUAACACGUGGGUGAUCUGCCCUGCACUUCGGGAUAAGCCUGGGAAACUGGGUCUAAUACCGGAUAGGACCCUGGGAUGCAUGUCCUGGGGUGGAAAGCUUUUGCGGUGUGGGAUGGGCCCGCUGCCUAUCAGCUUGUUGGUGGGGUGAUGGCCUACCAAGGCGACGACGGGUAGCCGGCCUGAGAGGGUGACCGGCCACACUGGGACUGAGAUACGGCCCAGACUCCUACGGGAGGCAGCAGUGGGGAAUAUUGCACAAUGGGCGCAAGCCUGAUGCAGCGACGCCGCGUGAGGGAUGACGGCCUUCGGGUUGUAAACCUCUUUCAGCACCGACGAAGCGCAAGUGACGGUACCUGCAGAAAAAGCACCGGCUAACUACGUGCCAGCAGCCGCAGUAA